CAGCCGCCACGGUAAUACGUAGGUGGCAAGCGUUGUCCGGAAUUAUUGGGCGUAAAGGGCUCGCAGGCGGUUUCUUAAGUCUGAUGUGAAAGCCCCCGGCUCAACCGGGGAGGGUCAUUGGAAACUGGGAAACUUGAGUGCAGAAGAGGAGAGUGGGAUUCCACGCGUAGCGGUGAAAUGCGUAGAGAUGUGGAGGAACACCAGUGGCGAAGGCGACUCUCUGGUCUGUAACUGACGCUGAGGAGCGAAAGCGUGGGGAGCAAACAGGAUUAGAUACCCGAGUAGUCCCUGUCUCUUAUAC
RNAcentral lists this ribosomal RNA (301 nucleotides) under uncultured bacterium. RNAcentral describes it as "partial 16S ribosomal RNA". It matches the Rfam family "Bacterial small subunit ribosomal RNA", at positions 509 to 807 of the family's 1533-position model. The record is from RNAcentral.